Molecule: long non-coding RNA, 2114 nt
Organism: Gadus macrocephalus (Pacific cod)
Lineage: Eukaryota; Metazoa; Chordata; Actinopteri; Gadiformes; Gadidae
Exons: 2
Source: RefSeq, a predicted model, not a curated record
UAGCACAGGGUCACUUGAGGUGGUGUGUAGCGAGUGAGCCAGCCUCCUCCGUGUGUACUUUGGUUGUCUUUCAUGCAAUCUUCAUUAGCCCUCAUUCAGGCUGGGAAGCAGUGCCUGGCUUUAUCAUCCUAUAGCCCUCCUGUCUAGUGGCUUGAGAUAGCAGUUCAUCUGGUACAUCUCUGUUAUGGUACAGAACACAGGGUCACCGUUUUUAAGCAUGCAUCCAAUAGAACGAAACCAAAAGUUGCUUGCAGUGCCCAGGAAGACCUGUGCUUAUGUUCCCAUUGUUUCCAGGGGUUGAUGGCACCAAAGCAUCACAGAGCGUUUGCUCUCCUGCAGCUAAAUGAUGGCAAGUAGGCAGACAUUCUAAAGACUGUUUCAAUUACAAACACAAAUUUUCAACUUUCUGUGGGUCGAUUUUAAAGGCACGCAAUAUAACUUUAGCUUAGUAAAACCUGAAGUACACAGUACAUAUGUCAUUUUAGUUUUACUUGGUACCCCUUCAUUGAAGUCUUGGCAAAAAAAAAAAAAAAAUGUUGCUGUGGAUAUCUAAGAGCAUUAACAAACACAAUAAGCCCAUAUGUUAACUUUAAAUGUGAAUUAAGGAGAAUUUAGUGGCAUUUUGCGGAACUGACUUUACAGAAAUGGAAUAUAAUAUUCAGAAGUAGGUUUUAAUAAGUGUAUAAUCCCAAGUAAAUAAGAAUUGUUAUGUUACCUAAGAAUUAGCCCUUUAUAGCUCGAUAGGGAGUAGGUACUGUUCUGUUGAGCCUGCCUUGUUGAUGUUUUAUACAGUGGCCCAGAAUGGACAAACGGAUCUAGAGGGGACUCAUUUCGUUUUUCAUCAUGGAAGACUUACAUGUUAGAUAUGAUGUAUCGUGUUACUGCCUAAACACAAUUUAUGAAUCUAUCAAUGAACCUCAUCCCUUGUGAAUGAUGGAAUCAUUUAGGAAUAACCUGCUUUCACCUGACAGGCCAGUACAGGCCACAGGGGCUCAUCCUACGUCACUGCAGUGGGAUGGGAGCGUUCAGUUUGUCCCCGCUAGAGGCCAUUAAAUCCUGCGGCACCAUUAAUAUAAUCGUAUAUACAUUUUUAUCAAAACAUUAUACAUUUUGUAGGACUUUAGGAAGUUUCUUUCUAUAUAGGAUGAUUUUGUUUUCAAGUUCCCUCCCACAACCUCUGGUAUGACUAUUUCUGUCCUCCUACUUAAGUCUUAUUUAGUUUCAUUUCUACAUACCGCAUUUUUUUCUGCUUUUAAAACAACAAGUCUUCUCAUUCAAGGUAACAUUGCUUCAAUGUUGAGUAGACAUACUCACAGUGUCAUUAUGGUGUAUUACCAGAGGGUGGCAGGCAUGAUCCACUAGGUUGUCACAACUCUGCAAUGUGACUAACAUCAUGCCCGAGGCUAGGUCUUCCACACAGAUGGAGUAAACUGUUUUAUAUUCUCAAUCUCUGUUUUCCCCUUAUUGAGAUUAAACAAUUGCAUCAUCUGCUGCACUUUCUACACUUUCUCCUUUCUAAGUGUCCUAUUAAUGAUCAAUCAAUUAAGGAGAAUGUAAUGAGGAUAGAGGUUAUGAUUGAGUUCAGCUGUAUGAAAUAACAACUGGGCACAUUAUUAUAUUUGAAUGCACUUUCGCUUUAUUCUACAGAAACACAUUGGGGACCGGGGGAACCCUAAUCAGUUCCAAAGGGUCCAUGGUGGACCUCCGGUAGAAUCACUCCUCAUCCAGCCCCCUCUGGUGGUAAGAGAGCAGAGAAAGUAGAUUUAGAGCGAGAGAGAGUGUAAGGAAUUUCAGGUACAUUUAUGUGGAGGUAUUCUAAUUAACAAUGACAACUAGACUUAACUGCGAUGCAUGUUGCAGGCUUGAGUCAACGCAUCGCUUCAAUUAUAUAUGCAAAUAGCCUUUAACUAAUAAGCACUAACGAUUGCAUUUAUUAUUUACAAUACGAUACUGUGUGUGAAUUUACAGGGACAAUCGUAACUGUCAGCUUAAAAUGUCUAUCCUAAAAUAAAGGCCACUGAAUCAAAUUCCACAACAAACAUUCAAUUACUCUGAAGUCCAGAUACAUUUCAGCUAGGAAAUAUUAAAAGCUGCCUCUUUAUUAUAAAUAAAAA